Molecule: unclassified non-coding RNA, 334 nt
Filed under: soil metagenome
Description: partial contains 5.8S ribosomal RNA, internal transcribed spacer 2, and large subunit ribosomal RNA
Rfam family: 5.8S ribosomal RNA (bases 1-120)
Source: RNAcentral
GAUGAAGAACGCAGCGAAAUGCGAUAAGUAAUGUGAAUUGCAGAAUUCAGUGAAUCAUCGAAUCUUUGAACGCACAUUGCGCCCCCCAGUAUUCUGGCGGGCAUGCCUGUUCGAGCGUCAUUUCAACCAUCAAGCCCUGCUUGUGUUGGGGUCCUGCGGCUGCCCGCAGGCCCUGAAAACCAGUGGCGGGCUCGCUAGUCACACCGAGCGCAGUAGCACAUCUCGCUCAGGGCGUGCGGCGGGCUCCAGCCGUUAAAGCACCCACCUUUCGCAAGGUUGACCUCGGAUCAGGUAGGGAUACCCGCUGAACUUAAGCAUAUCAAUAAGCGGAGGA